RNAcentral lists this ribosomal RNA (319 nucleotides) under Conomurex luhuanus. RNAcentral's name for it is "partial 12S ribosomal RNA". The record is from RNAcentral. Lineage: Eukaryota; Metazoa; Mollusca; Gastropoda; Littorinimorpha; Strombidae.
AAAGGGCUUGGCGGUGCUUUAGACCACUUAGGGGAACCUGUCUCAUAAUCGACAAUCCACGAGAUACCCUACCUUUACUUGCUUUCAGUAUGUAUACCGUCGUCGGCAGGUAACUUUUAAGAAAUAAGAAGUUAGCAAAAUAAGACAAUAUAGUUCAAUUAUCUACUACGUCAGAUCAUGGUGCAGCUAAUGUAAAGGAGAGGAUGGGUUACAAUUAAAAUUCAUAACUACGAAAGAGAACAAGAAUUAUUUUCUCGGAAGGAGGACUUAAAAGUAAAUGUAAUUAGAUAAAUUCAUUGAAUAAGGCUCUGAAGCGUGC